RNAcentral lists this ribosomal RNA (497 nucleotides) under uncultured bacterium. Its description in RNAcentral is "partial 16S ribosomal RNA". It matches the Rfam family "Bacterial small subunit ribosomal RNA", at positions 28 to 507 of the family's 1533-position model. The record is from RNAcentral.
GAUGAACGCUGGCGGCGUGCCUAAUACAUGCAAGUCGAGCGAACAGACGAGAAGCUUGCUUCUCUGACGUUAGCGGCGGACGGGUGAGUAACACGUGGAUAACCUACCUAUAAGACUGGGAUAACUUCGGGAAACCGGAGCUAAUACCGGAUAAUAUUUUGAACCGCAUGGUUCAAAAGUGAAAGACGGUCUUGCUGUCACUUAUAGAUGGAUCCGCGCCGCAUUAGCUAGUUGGUAAGGUAACGGCUUACCAAGGCAACGAUGCGUAGCCGACCUGAGAGGGUGAUCGGCCACACUGGAACUGAGACACGGUCCAGACUCCUACGGGAGGCAGCAGUAGGGAAUCUUCCGCAAUGGGCGAAAGCCUGACGGAGCAACGCCGCGUGAGUGAUGAAGGUCUUCGGAUCGUAAAACUCUGUUAUUAGGGAAGAACAUAUGUGUAAGUAACUGUGCACAUCUUGACGGUACCUAAUCAGAAAGCCACGGCUAACUACGUG